GUCCAACAUGAUGUAUGCAGGUGAUGCACAACAGUGAUUUCCCAAAAUGUAAAACUAAAAGAACAUAACUGGAACUUUGAAUUCACAACAAAUGUCACUUUAGAGAAUAACCGAGUGUGUGUAUAACGCUUCUACCUCUGCUAACACAAAAACAUAUGAUCAAUUCCUAGAUUGAUAAAUGUUGCGUGGCAAGCUAGUAAAACUUAAAAUGAGGACUUGAAGUUGAGUUCACCAUAUGUGGAGUGUGCAAUAAUUUUAGAAGUAAUUAUAGAAUUUUUAUGAAAAAUGCU
Non-coding RNA from Pelobates cultripes (western spadefoot toad), 290 nucleotides. The record is from the annotation of a GenBank genome assembly. Lineage: Eukaryota; Metazoa; Chordata; Amphibia; Anura; Pelobatidae.